GAUGAAGAACGUAGCGAACUGCGAUAAGUAAUGUGAAUUGCAGAAUUCAGUGAAUCAUCGAGUCUUUGAACGCACAUUGCGCCCCCUGGCAUUCCGGGGGGCAUGCCUGUCCGAGCGUCAUUGCUGCCCUUCAAGCCCGGCUUGUGUGUUGGGUCGUCGUCCCCCCCGGGGGACGGGCCCGAAAGGCAGCGGCGGCACCGCGUCCGGUCCUCGAGCGUAUGGGGCUUUGUCACCCGCUCGAUUAGGGCCGGCCGGGCGCCAGCCGGCGUCUCCAACCUUCUAUUUUUCCAGGUUGACCUCGGAUCAGGUAGGGAUACCCGCUGAACUUAAGCAUAUCACUAAGCGGAGGA
RNAcentral lists this unclassified non-coding RNA (350 nucleotides) under soil metagenome. RNAcentral describes it as "partial contains 5.8S ribosomal RNA, internal transcribed spacer 2, and large subunit ribosomal RNA". The stretch from base 1 to 120 matches the Rfam family "5.8S ribosomal RNA", at positions 35 to 154 of the family's 154-position model. The record is from RNAcentral.